CCUUCCUGUUCAUAUCUCCAAGCUUCUGGACAAUCUUGGAGUUGCUCUCAAACCUCUUUUUGUUGCUGGUUCCAACAUCAAGAAUAGCUUCCAGGUAACUAUUGAUCCAAUCAUUUCUUGCCAUCUCUCUGAUUGUUAUUGCACUGAAAACUAAAAGUUACAUAAACAUCUAUAAGCACAACAAUAGAGAAAACAGAACAAAUUCGCUUUUCGGCAUUUUUACAUACCGGGAAUUAUAAUUCAGCUAUAUAGGAUAGAAGAAGAGAGAGGCCUAGUUUUUGAUAUCAACUCAGCUUUGCCAUUUUAUAAUCUCAUACAAAAGGUCCCUCCUUUUUCUCAUUUUUAUUUCCUGAUAUUUUAUUUUCAAACUUUGGUUAACUCUGGUGUGGUUCUGCUUCUCUGUAUUAUCUCUCAGACGGGCUUAUUACAACGUCAUGUUAU
RNAcentral lists this long non-coding RNA (441 nucleotides) under Capsella grandiflora. RNAcentral's name for it is "long non-coding RNA (CGRA_LNC001516)". The record is from RNAcentral. Lineage: Eukaryota; Viridiplantae; Streptophyta; Magnoliopsida; Brassicales; Brassicaceae.